This 253-nucleotide ribosomal RNA is filed under the name uncultured bacterium. RNAcentral's name for it is "partial 16S ribosomal RNA". It matches the Rfam family "Bacterial small subunit ribosomal RNA", at positions 524 to 776 of the family's 1533-position model. The record is from RNAcentral.
UACGAGUGCCCCAAGCGUUAUCCGGAAUUAUUGGGCGUAAAGGGUGUGUAGGUGGUUUUGUUAGUCUUCUGUUAAAUUCUUCGGCUUAACCGGGGGUCUGCAAAAGAAACGGCAAAACUAGAGGAUGCGAGAGGUGUGCGGAACUCAUGGUGUAGGGGUGAAAUCCGUUGAUAUCAUGGGGAACACCGAAAGCGAAGGCAGCACACUGGCGCACUCCUGACACUGAUGUGCGAAAGCCAGGGGAGCGAACGGG